ACUGAACCUUAUGAGUAAUGGAUUCAAAACCUUCAAUAGAUCACUGUCUUAGCUUUAUUUUCUUUGUUUCCUUUUACAUAUCAUAAUUUUCCCCUUGCUGUAAUCUUCACUCCUUAAUCUGAUGACUGUAAUCUCUUGACUGCUCUUUUAUUUUUUUUUAAUAAUAAAUUCUCUGUAGGGGUUGCGGCCCCUCUAGGUACACUCGUGUCUGUUAUUUUAGAACUAACAUGUUUCUCUUCUCUAAAAAAUAUGAAGAUUUUCAUUAGUCCGCAAAUGAAUGUUCCAUCUAAAUUUGCGAGACAAAUCUAUUAAACAUAAUUAGUCCAUGAUUUGUCGAUGUAGUGCUAAAGUAAACAUGUGCUAAUCAUAGAUUAAUUAAUUUUAAUAGAUUUGUCUCGCUAAUUAGUCUACUCAUAUGUAAUUAGUUUUACAAUUAGCUCAUGUUCCCUUAUAUAGAUCUAAACACCCCCUAAGUUUUUUUUAGC
This 485-nucleotide long non-coding RNA is filed under the name Sorghum bicolor (sorghum). RNAcentral's name for it is "long non-coding RNA (SBIC_LNC011663)". Lineage: Eukaryota; Viridiplantae; Streptophyta; Magnoliopsida; Poales; Poaceae. The record is from RNAcentral.